This 458-nucleotide ribosomal RNA is filed under the name uncultured bacterium. RNAcentral's name for it is "partial 16S ribosomal RNA". It matches the Rfam family "Bacterial small subunit ribosomal RNA", at positions 338 to 795 of the family's 1533-position model. The record is from RNAcentral.
CCUACGGGAGGCAGCAGUGAGGAAUAUUGGUCAAUGGGCGAGAGCCUGAACCAGCCAAGUCGCGUGAGGGAGUACUGCCCUAUGGGUUGUAAACCUCUUUUGUCGGGGAGCAAAAGCCGGACGUGUCCGGCUGUGAGAGUACCCGAAGAAAAAGCAUCGGCUAACUCCGUGCCAGCAGCCGCGGUAAUACGGAGGAUGCGAGCGUUAUCCGGGUUUAUUGGGUUUAAAGGGUGCGCAGGCGGAUUUUUAAGUCAGCGGUAAAAUCGUGGGGCUCAACCCCAUCCAGCCGUUGAAACUGGGGAUCUAGAGUGUGCGAGAGGUAUGCGGAAUGCGUGGUGUAGCGGUGAAAUGCAUAGAUAUCACGCAGAACCCCGAUUGCGAAGGCAGCAUACCGGUGCACAACUGACGCUCAGGCACGAAAGCGUGGGUAUCGAACAGGAUUAGAUACCCGUGUAGUC